This is a long non-coding RNA of Varanus komodoensis (Komodo dragon), 725 nucleotides long. RefSeq lists it as uncharacterized. Lineage: Eukaryota; Metazoa; Chordata; Lepidosauria; Squamata; Varanidae. The transcript is spliced from 3 exons. The record is from RefSeq and is a predicted model, not a curated record.
CCCUUACUGGCAUUCUUCAUUGCAUGCUGUGUUGGUCAAAGACCAUGAGAAAUAAAUAUCACACGGGUAAACUUCUUCAGAAAGGUACACAAUUCUACGAAGCCGGCUGUAUAUCUCGUUGAUUCACCAUUUUGUCUUCUUACUAGCAAUGUAGAAAGCAAGGGACGCAACAUUUCUUUGUCUGAGCAGCAUGAGAAAGAAUAUGGCAACUACAAAAAUGGCAGUUUCCAUCAUUAGGAAUUACUAUCCCUGCUAAUUUACUGUCAAGAGCCAGGUGAGAGGUCUGAUCUGUCAUCAUGAGAAGUAGCCGCUUUGCUUCUGAGCGCCAACCAAUAUGGCUCUAAAAAAAAGAAGACACAGUGAACUCAGUUGUAUGAUGGGAAAAUGCAUGUGAAGAAGAGACACAGAAAUGUACUUCAAGAUUCUACACUGGCUGAGAAACUCUUAUAGGUAAUAUUUUAAUAGGGUUUGAAACCCCAUGGGUUGCAUCUAAAUGUUCCCUUUCUUUGACAGAAGACCCCCUUCAUUGUUCAAGCCUUCAAUAUAUCUGCUAAAGCACUUUGAUAGACACAGGAAGAAAAAAUUGACUUGAGAACCAAAUACAAUGUACAAACCUCCUUUGGAUUUUUGAAGCACCAUUAUCUGCAUGCAACAUUAGACUGUCAUGAAGCAGACAAAUAACAUACAGAGAUUUGGCCAAAUUAUCAAUUAGCUCUUACCUGGCA